GUUUGUGACAUCAGAGGUACAUUUCAGCAAUUGACUGGCUAAAGAAUGCAUGCAGCUAGUUAAUAGUUUUCACAGGCUUAAUAGACAGCUGAUUGAAAGGAAACUCACAGGCACUGUGGCCCCCUGGAAAUUUAGUUUGACAGCCCUAGAUAAGCUCAUUGAUGAGCUUAGAGACCUCAUUGCUGUCCACUCCAGGCCUUCUCAUCCUGUCGGAAAUUCACACAGUUGCACAGAAAUGUGCAGUUGUCGGGCAAAGAAAAACGUGUCUAUUGGCUGUUGACAGGAUUAUAAAUUGCAUCACUGACCAUCGCAAGCCUUUUGAGCCAAGAAUGAAGACUUACGAUAAAUAUUAAAACAUGUCUGAUAUCGUCAGGACGGUCAAGACAAGAAAAAGGACUCAUGAACUCAGUCUUGAAACGGUCUCAUAAUCGUGAAUCGUGACGGGGACUGAGAUGCCUGUGGCUGUACCCGGUGGGUUUGGAAACACAAUGGAGCCACAGCCACAAUGCGGGACAGAUCCUGGUUCGAAACAAUACCAUCAAGAAUGAGAACUCUGCAUUGUUUCUUCUGAGCUACAGUAUGUCUAGUUGGGUUUCCAAAAAAGGCUAUUUGGAGACUCCAAAACGACUGUUCAGUAACAAAAAUGAUGAUAUGGGUCUUUAGGGGUUAAGUCCCUGCAGCUGAGAAGCAUCCCCCCACUCACUGCAACAAAGGAUGUGUUAAUAUCCAACACGUUUUCUGUGUUACUACCUUUCUGUCACUUUAAACACAUUUUGUCUCAGUCAGUAGUUUUUGGUUUACAAAGUAGGCUAUACAAUGCAUGUGUUACAACAGGAGACUUAAAAAAAACAAAAACAAAAA
Long non-coding RNA from Anguilla rostrata (American eel), 861 nucleotides. RefSeq lists it as uncharacterized. The transcript is spliced from 3 exons. NCBI's taxonomy places the organism in Eukaryota, Metazoa, Chordata, Actinopteri, Anguilliformes, Anguillidae. The record is from RefSeq and is a predicted model, not a curated record.